UUACGGCCACAUCACGUUGAAACACAAAUUCCUGUACGAUCAUUGAAGUUAAGCAACGUCGAACCAGGCCAGUAACUAGAUGCGUGACCGCUUGGGAAAAACAGGUGCUGUAAG
This is a non-coding RNA of Acanthosepion pharaonis, 114 nucleotides long. Lineage: Eukaryota; Metazoa; Mollusca; Cephalopoda; Sepiida; Sepiidae. The record is from the annotation of a GenBank genome assembly.